RNAcentral lists this ribosomal RNA (253 nucleotides) under uncultured bacterium. Its description in RNAcentral is "partial 16S ribosomal RNA". It matches the Rfam family "Bacterial small subunit ribosomal RNA", at positions 524 to 776 of the family's 1533-position model. The record is from RNAcentral.
CACGUAGGGUGCGAGCGUUGUCCGGAAUUAUUGGGCGUAAAGAGCUCGUAGGCGGUCUGUCGCGUCGGCUGUGAAAACCCGGAGCUCAACUCCGGGCCUGCAGUCGAUACGGGCAGACUGGAGUUCGGCAGGGGAGACUGGAAUUCCUGGUGUAGCGGUGAAAUGCGCAGAUAUCAGGAGGAACACCGGUGGCGAAGGCGGGUCUCUGGGCCGAUACUGACGCUGAGGAGCGAAAGCGUGGGGAGCGAACAGG